AAAUCAUUCUAAUAUGCUGAUUUGGUAAAGAAAUGAAAUUGCCUUCAGGUCUGAAGCAGAAUUCACUCAAAAUACUUCAUCAUCACAUUAUUAGUGCAAACAGAUCAGGGUGAUCUCAAAAGUGUGGAUGGUAUCGCCUACAUUGAAACCAAAAAAACGUAUGUAUGCAUAUGUUUUUGUUACAGGUUAUAUGGCUCCCCGCAAUGCUAGGUGGGCGGAGCAGCUUGCCUCAGGGGCUGGUUCAGGGCAAGGGGGCAGAGACGAUUCUAAGGGUGGGCCUGACAGGUUACAGAACAGCCAGGUGCAGCAGCAGAUUAUUCUAGCCUUCCAGCAACUCAGCGAGGACAUGCAGAGCAUCAUGCAACGACUAGAGGUGGUUGAAUACCUUGCAACUGCAAAUGCUCAAAGUUUACAGCGGAGAUCCCAUUUACACUUGACAGCUGCAGAAACUGAGGAGAAAUGGUGGCCAUUUGACAUCUCUGGACGUACAUUAUUACUGUUGUUAGUGUGGCCUUUUGUGACUCAGGCACUGAUGUUUCUACUGAGAUGGAGGAAGAGAAAGAUUAAUGUGUGCUUAUGAAUUUACUGUAUUGAGUUCAAAUGAAAGUAGAAGUCACAAUGAUAACUAAUUAAUUGUGACCUAGCAUUCAAUGCUUCAAAUGUAGCACUUUGUUAGCAUGAGGUGAAGAGAGGAAAUGUUAUAAUCUCAUAUCUCUGAAAUCUGAGGAAGAUUAAAUGUAUGAACAAGAUGAAUGCAGUUCUUAGAGACAUCCUGGAGUUAAUUAUUUAAUUGAAUGUCCAUGAUGUGUUCCAUUGUAAUUCUGCUUAAAUGUAGCCAUGUGCAGAGACUUUGUCAAUAAUAUAUAAUAUACAUAUUAUCGUAUUUUGAAAAUAAGUUAUGUUUAUUAGUAUCUCUGUGCUGAUGGUUGAAAUUGACCUUGUAAAUGCCAUCUGCACCACAACAAAGGAUUACAGUCCUGCUGAUCUUACUUGUAGGAUGUUGCAGGGUGCCAGGCUUUUUUUUGUAGAACUGACAAAAAAAAUGUAUGCAAUCAAAAAAAGCCUUAAAUAACUACAGGGGCCUUCACGUGGGGUACAUGCUCUGAUAUGAGAAAAAAGAACCAGCAACAGCAUAUUCUGACUAUCAUGUUCUAUAAUGAAAGAAUACACAUAUAUAAACAAAACAAAUGGAUUUUAUGUAAUGGUCAUCCACUUGUUACUUUUAUUAAACAUGCUAUUU
Long non-coding RNA from Sinocyclocheilus grahami, 1240 nucleotides. RefSeq lists it as uncharacterized. The record is from RefSeq and is a predicted model, not a curated record. The transcript is spliced from 3 exons. Lineage: Eukaryota; Metazoa; Chordata; Actinopteri; Cypriniformes; Cyprinidae.